AGCAGCCGCGGUAAUUCCAGCUCCAAUAGCGUAUAUUAAAGUUGUUGCAGUUAAAAAGCUCGUAGUUGAAUUUCGGGGUUAGUAGGUUGGUCAUGCCUCUGGUAUGUACUGGUCUCACUGAUUCCUCCUUCCUGAUGAGCCGUAAUGCCAUUAAUUUGGUGUUGCGGGGAAUUUGGACUGUUACUUUGAAAAAAUUAGAGUGUUUAAAGCAAGCUAACGCUUGAAUACAUUAGCAUGGAAUAAUGAAAUAGGACGUUCGAUCCUAUUUUGUGGUUUCUAGGAUUGACGUAAUGAUUAAUAGGGAUAGUUGGGGGCAUUAGUAUUCAAUUGUCAGAGGUGAAAUUCUUGGAUUUAUUGAAGACUAACUACUGCGAAAGCAAUUUGCCAAGGAUGUUUCAUUAAUCAAGAACGAAAGUUAGGGAUCGAAGACGAUCAGAUACCGUCGUAGUCUUAACCAUAAACUAU
RNAcentral lists this ribosomal RNA (465 nucleotides) under uncultured Glomus. RNAcentral describes it as "SSU rRNA". It matches the Rfam family "Eukaryotic small subunit ribosomal RNA", at positions 569 to 1040 of the family's 1831-position model. Lineage: Eukaryota; Fungi; Glomeromycota; Glomeromycetes; Glomerales; Glomeraceae. The record is from RNAcentral.